This 203-nucleotide ribosomal RNA is filed under the name uncultured bacterium. Its description in RNAcentral is "partial 16S ribosomal RNA". It matches the Rfam family "Bacterial small subunit ribosomal RNA", at positions 1300 to 1500 of the family's 1533-position model. The record is from RNAcentral.
GCAGCCUGCAACUCGGCGUGCAUGAAGCUGGAAUCGCUAGUAAUCGCGGAUCAGAACGCCGCGGUGAAUACGUUCCCGGGUCUUGUACACACCGCCCGUCACACCAUGGGAGUCGGAAAUGCCCGAAGUCUGUGACCGAACCGAAAGGAAGGAGCAGCCGAAGGCAGGUCGGAUGACUGGGGGUGAAGUCGUAACAAGGUAAC